CACAAGCAAAAACUGCAUGUGCACCCACACUUGGAAUUGCCUUGUUGCAAAUCCCCUUUUUUUGUGCCUGGCUGCCCAGUGCACGGACAUUUUUGUGGGCACAUGGAGGGUGCAGCUGAGGCUGGUGGAAAAUUUGGCUCUGAUAAUUUCUUCUACAAGAAUUAUUUUGCACUGAUCCCUCCAUUUGUAGAUAGGAAGCAGACCAGGGGUUUUCCUAGAUGCUGCAUUUUAAAUUACUACUACAUCUUUCAAAAGACGACAAACGUGCAAUUUGACUACAAUAAAUAUGGCACAAUCUCUCUGUCAUUGUAAAUAGGCAUUGUGUGACCCCAAAAACCCUGAGAGGAGAGGUAUUCUUGCUGUGAAGGCUCUGGAUUAGGACACAGAAUAGCUGCUUUUAAUUCCCAGACAAUAACCUGGUAGUUAGGCCCGGGUUGUUUACAUUGGGAUCAGGCUGUACAGUGUCCUGUGAAAGGAAAAUGACACAUCUACCUCUGUUUGGAUGAGAACUGUAAGAAAAACAGAGUUGGCCAAAGGCAGCCCUGAUGUAACUGUGUUGAUCUCAGUGGAGAGACACCAGGGAUGAAUUUGAUUGGAUGUACAUUUCAGCACAGGGACCCAUCAGCAACAAGAAUGGAGCAGACAGGCAGAAAGACAGGGCAGUGUGACCCACACAAGUUUAUAUCACACGUCUCUAAUAUCAGGCGGUUGCAAUGUCUCAUCUUCUGCUCUUUCAGGAUCUCAAGAUCAACUUUACUUGAAUCACUGAAGCACCUAAACAUCAUCAAGAGACAUGGGCUUAACCUGGAAAAUUCACUUCUGGAUCCAGAACUGAGUACCCCCAAUGCUCAAAGGUGUUUUGAUCUUCGGUUUUGGUCUGAUCCAUCAGAGAGAUAAGGUCCAGCAGUGAAUUUUAGAGCUAGACCCAGCCUGAGUUCCAAAGUUCAGAGUUAUUAGGCCUUGGAUCAGUUAGUCCACACAAUCUGCAAUAUUUAUCUAACUGCCAACAACACUAUCUGAAAAGUCAGCUUGUUGCUUAUUCUUUGUGUCCCUCAGUUUGGUUCAAUUAAUUUUCUUUUUCUUUGCACAUUAGUAGGUGCAUCUAUUAUCCUUUUAUAUUGUGGUACCACUGGGCCCUGGGUCUUCGUGUUGGAUGUAAUCCCAUUUUACUGCUCCUUCUAUCUUCCCCCCACCUGUUUUUCUCCAUUCAUCCCUCUGUAAAUAAAUAUUUCCUUUC
Molecule: non-coding RNA, 1237 nt
Organism: Caretta caretta (loggerhead turtle)
Lineage: Eukaryota; Metazoa; Chordata; Testudines; Cheloniidae
Source: RefSeq, a predicted model, not a curated record